UGCGCAGGCGGUUCGUUUUGUGGGUGGUGAAAUCUCCUGGCUCAACUGGGAGGGGGCCAUCCAAACGGGCGAACUUGAGGCGUGGAGAGGGACGUGGAAUUCCGGGUGGAGCGGUGAAAUGCGUAGAGAUCCGGAGGAACACCGACGGCGAAGGCAGCGUCCUGGCCACGACCUGACGCUCAGGCACGAAAGCUGGGGGAGCAAACAGGAUUAGAUACCCUGGUAGUCCCAGCUGUAAACGAUGUCCACCAGGUGCUGGAGGUAUCGACCCCUUCGGUGCCGAAGCUAACGUGAUGAGUGGACCGCCUGGGGAUACGGCCGCAAGGUUAAA
RNAcentral lists this ribosomal RNA (331 nucleotides) under uncultured bacterium. RNAcentral describes it as "bacterial SSU rRNA". It matches the Rfam family "Bacterial small subunit ribosomal RNA", at positions 568 to 898 of the family's 1533-position model. The record is from RNAcentral.